Molecule: non-coding RNA, 28 nt
Filed under: Rattus norvegicus (Norway rat)
Lineage: Eukaryota; Metazoa; Chordata; Mammalia; Rodentia; Muridae
Source: RNAcentral
UGGUUUAAGUGUUCCUGCCUGGAUGGAA